UGCGUAGGGACCAAGCGUUGUUCGGAUUUACUGGGCGUAAAGGGCGCGUAGGCGGCAAUUCAAAUCAGCUGUGAAAUCUCCGGGCUUAACUCGGAACGGUCAGCUGAUACUGCUUUGCUAGAGUGCAGAAGGGGCAAUCGGAAUUCUUGGUGUAGCGGUGAAAUGCGUAGAUACCAAGAGGAACACCUGAGGUGAAGACGGGUUGCUGGGCUGACACUGACGCUGAGGCGCGAAAGCUAGGGUAGCAAACGGG
Molecule: ribosomal RNA, 253 nt
Filed under: uncultured bacterium
Lineage: Bacteria
Description: partial 16S ribosomal RNA
Rfam family: Bacterial small subunit ribosomal RNA
Source: RNAcentral